Anopheles funestus (African malaria mosquito) is the source of this 125-nucleotide long non-coding RNA. RefSeq lists it as uncharacterized. Lineage: Eukaryota; Metazoa; Arthropoda; Insecta; Diptera; Culicidae. The record is from RefSeq and is a predicted model, not a curated record. The transcript is spliced from 3 exons.
AAAAGUUAGUUUUGGUGUAAGUUAGGUUUUUUCGAAAAAGUUAGUUUUGGUAUAAGUUAGGUUUUUUUAGAAAAAGUUAGUUUUGGUAUAAGUUAGGUUUUUUAGAAAAAGUUAGUUUUGGUAUA